GCGGCAGGCCUAAUACAUGCAAGUCGAGCGGCAAGUCGAGGAGUAAUCUGAGACCUAGAGCGGCGUACGGGUGCGUAACGCGUAUGCAACCUACCUCAUACAGGGGGAUAGCCCGGAGAAAUCUGGAUUAAUACCCCAUGGCACAGCACAAGGGCAUCUGCGAGCUGUUAAAGAUUCAUCGGUAUGAGAUGGGCAUGCGUCUGAUUAGCUAGUUGGCGGUGUAACGGACCACCAAGGCGACGAUCAGUAGGGGUUCUGAGAGGAAGGUCCCCCACACUGGCACUGAGAUACGGGCCAGACUCCUACGGGAGGCAGCAGUAGGGAAUAUUGGGCAAUGGACGAGAGUCUGACCCAGCCAUGCCGCGUGCAGGAAGACGGCGUUCUGCGUUGUAAACUGCUUUUAUCUGGGAAGAAAAAGUCCAUGCGUGGAAAAUUGCCGGUACCAGAUGAAUAAGCACCGGCUAACUCCGUGCCAGCAGCCGCGGUAAUACGGAGGGUGCAAGCGUUGUCCGGAUUUAUUGGGUUUAAAGGGUGCGUAGGCGGCUAUUUAAGUCAGCGGUGAAAGACAUCGGCUCAACCGAUGCAGUGCCAUUGAUACUGGAUAGCUUGAGUGUUGGAGGGGUACAUGGAAUUGAUGGUGUAGCGGUGAAAUGCAUAGAUACCAUCAGGAACACCGAUAGCGAAGGCAUUGUACUGGCCAACAACUGACGCUGAGGCACGAAAGCAUGGGUAGCGAACAGGAUUAGAUACCCUGGUAGUCCAUGCCGUAAACGAUGAUUACUCGCUGUUAUGCCGUAGGGUGUAGCGGCCAAGCGAAAGCGUUAAGUAAUCCACCUGGGGAGUACGCCGGCAACGGUGAAACUCAAAGGAAU
Molecule: ribosomal RNA, 872 nt
Filed under: uncultured bacterium
Lineage: Bacteria
Description: bacterial SSU rRNA
Rfam family: Bacterial small subunit ribosomal RNA
Source: RNAcentral